This 254-nucleotide ribosomal RNA is filed under the name uncultured bacterium. Its description in RNAcentral is "partial 16S ribosomal RNA". It matches the Rfam family "Bacterial small subunit ribosomal RNA", at positions 524 to 776 of the family's 1533-position model. The record is from RNAcentral.
UACGUAGGGGGCUAGCGUUGUCCGGAAUCAUUGGGCGUAAAGCGCGUGUAGGCGGUCCGGUAAGUCCGCUGUGAAAAGUCGGGGGGCUCAACCCUCGGAUGCCGGUGGAUACUGUCGGGCUUGAGUACGGAAGAGGCGAGUGGAAUCCUGGUGUAGCGGUGAAAUGCGCAGAUAUCAGGAGGAACACCAAUUGCGAAGGCAGCUCGCUGGGACGUUACUGACGCUGAGACGCGAAAGCGUGGGGAGCAAACAGG